RNAcentral lists this unclassified non-coding RNA (345 nucleotides) under soil metagenome. RNAcentral describes it as "partial contains 5.8S ribosomal RNA, internal transcribed spacer 2, and large subunit ribosomal RNA". The stretch from base 1 to 120 matches the Rfam family "5.8S ribosomal RNA", at positions 35 to 154 of the family's 154-position model. The record is from RNAcentral.
GAUGAAGAACGCAGCGAAAUGCGAUACGUAAUGUGAAUUGCAGAAUUCAGUGAAUCAUCGAGUCCUUGAACGCACAUUGCGCCCCCUGGUAUUCCGGGGGGCAUGCCUGUCCGAGCGUCAUUGCUGCCCUCAAGCACGGCUUGUGUGUUGGGCCUCCGUCCUCCUCCCGGGGGACGGGCCCGAAAGGCAGCGGCGGCACCGCGUCCGGUCCUCGAGCGUAUGGGGCUUCGUCACCCGCUCUUGUAGGCCCGGCCGGCGCUUGCCGACACAUCAAUCUUUUUUCCAGGUUGACCUCGGAUCAGGUAGGGAUACCCGCUGAACAUAAGCAUAUCAAUAAGCGGAGGA